Molecule: long non-coding RNA, 503 nt
Filed under: Ananas comosus (pineapple)
Lineage: Eukaryota; Viridiplantae; Streptophyta; Magnoliopsida; Poales; Bromeliaceae
Description: long non-coding RNA (ACOM_LNC036678)
Source: RNAcentral
AUAUAUAUAUAUAUAUAUAUAUAUAGGCUGUGGCUACUAUAUUCUUAUGAGUAUAGGUCCUCUUGUACUCAUAAAUUUUUAACCGUUGAUUGAUGGGAUGUGUGGUUAGAAUGAUGGUGGUUCCCACUUAUAAUGAUAGUGGUCCAUUAGGGUUGAGUGGGUAGUUGGUUGAAUAGUAUGAUCUAACUCAUAAAAAUGAUUAAUGGAAUAAAUCCAAGGGCCGAAAACUUAUGAGUAUGAGAAAGCCAAUACUCAUAAAUGAUGUCGAAAAAUUAUGAAAUUUAGUUUCCAAAUACUUUUAAUAGUGUAAAUCAAGUCUAACGGAGCUGAUCGUCGAUUUGGAAGCCGCAUCAUUGAGAACAACUUGGUAGCACGGAGGCCUCCGUGCUACCGAUAGUAUACCAGCCUAGCUCUAUAUAUAUAUACAUAUAUCGCCGGUAAUUUUAACUCCAACACUGCAUUUUGUUUUUGAAUGAUAACUUUUUUUCCAAAAAAAAAAAAAU